Molecule: ribosomal RNA, 468 nt
Filed under: uncultured bacterium
Lineage: Bacteria
Description: partial 16S ribosomal RNA
Rfam family: Bacterial small subunit ribosomal RNA
Source: RNAcentral
GACGAACGCUGGCGGCGUGCUUAACACAUGCCAGUCGAACGGAAAGGCCCUGCUUUUGUGGGGUGCCCGAGUGGCGAACGGGUGAGUAACACGUGAGUAACCUGCCCUUGACUUUGGGAUAACUUCAGGAAACUGGGGCUAAUACCGGAUAGGAGCUCCUGCUGCAUGGUGGGGGUUGGAAAGUUUCGGCGGUUGGGGAUGGACUCGCGGCUUAUCAGCUUGUUGGUGGGGUAGUGGCUUACCAAGGCUUUGACGGGUAGCCGGCCUGAGAGGGUGACCGGCCACAUUGGGACUGAGAUACGGCCCAGACUCCUACGGGAGGCAGCAGUGGGGAAUAUUGCACAAUGGGCGGAAGCCUGAUGCAGCAACGCCGCGUGCGGGAUGACGGCCUUCGGGUUGUAAACCGCUUUCGCCUGUGACGAAGCGUGAGUGACGGUAAUGGGUAAAGAAGCACCGGCUAACUACGUG